UGGGGAAUAUUGCAGCAAUGGGCGCAAGCCUGAUGCAGCCAUGCCGCGUGUGUGAAGAAGGCCUCGGGUUGUAAAGCACUUUCAGCGAGGAGGAACGGUGGUGAGCUUAAUACGCUCAUCAAUUGACGUUACUCGCAGAAGAAGCACCGGCUAACUCCGUGCCAGCAGCCGCGGUAAUACGGAGGGUGCAAGCGUUAAUCGGAAUUACUGGGCGUAAAGCGCACGCAGGCGGUUUGUUAAGUCAGAUNUGAAAUCCCCGGGCUCAACCUGGGAACUGCAUUUGAAACUGGCAAGCUAGAGUCUCGUAGAGGGGGGUAGAAUUCCAGGUGUAGCGGUGAAAUGCGUAGAGAUCUGGAGGAAUACC
This 364-nucleotide ribosomal RNA is filed under the name uncultured bacterium. RNAcentral describes it as "partial 16S ribosomal RNA". It matches the Rfam family "Bacterial small subunit ribosomal RNA", at positions 355 to 710 of the family's 1533-position model. The record is from RNAcentral.